Molecule: ribosomal RNA, 301 nt
Filed under: uncultured bacterium
Lineage: Bacteria
Description: partial 16S ribosomal RNA
Rfam family: Bacterial small subunit ribosomal RNA
Source: RNAcentral
CAGUCGCCGCGGUAAAACGAAGGGGGCUAGCGUUGCUCGGAAUCACUGGGCGUAAAGGGUGCGUAGGCGGGUCUUUAAGUCAGGGGUGAAAUCCUGGAGCUCAACUCCAGAACUGCCUUUGAUACUGAAGAUCUUGAGUUCGGGAGAGGUGAGUGGAACUGCGAGUGUAGAGGUGAAAUUCGUAGAUAUUCGCAAGAACACCAGUGGCGAAGGCGGCUCACUGGCCCGAUACUGACGCUGAGGCACGAAAGCGUGGGGAGCAAACAGGAUUAGAUACCCCCGUAGUCCCUGUCUCUUAUAC